UGGGGAAUAUUGCACAAUGGGCGCAAGCCUGAUGCAGCCAUGCCGCGUGUAUGAAGAAGGCCUUCGGGUUGUAAAGUACUUUCAGUCGGGAGGAAGGUGUCAAGGUUAAUAACCUUGGCAAUUGACGUUACCGACAGAAGAAGCACCGGCUAACUCCGUGCCAGCAGCCGCGGUAAUACGGAGUGUGCAAGCGUUAAUCGGAAUUACUGGGCGUAAAGCGCACGCAGGCGGUUGAUUGAGUCAGAUGUGGAAUCCCCGGGCUUAACACGGGAAUUGCAUCUGAUAAUGGUCAGCUAGAGUCUUGUAGAUGUGGGUAGAAUUCCAUGUGUAGCGGUGAAAUGCGUAGAGAUGUGGAGGAAUACCGGUGGCGAAGGCGGCCCCCUGGACAAAGACUGACGCUCAGGUGCGAAAGCGUGGGGAGCAAACAGG
Molecule: ribosomal RNA, 429 nt
Filed under: Chloroflexota bacterium
Lineage: Bacteria; Bacillati; Chloroflexota
Description: Chloroflexi bacterium partial 16S ribosomal RNA
Rfam family: Bacterial small subunit ribosomal RNA
Source: RNAcentral